Molecule: transfer RNA, 74 nt
Filed under: Methylacidiphilales bacterium
Lineage: Bacteria; Pseudomonadati; Verrucomicrobiota; Methylacidiphilae; Methylacidiphilales
Also listed under: 1 other name
Description: Candidatus Methylacidiphilales bacterium tRNA-Arg
Rfam family: tRNA
About the family: Transfer RNA (tRNA) molecules are approximately 80 nucleotides in length. Their secondary structure includes four short double-helical elements and three loops (D, anti-codon, and T loops). Further hydrogen bonds mediate the characteristic L-shaped molecular structure. tRNAs have two regions of fundamental functional importance: the anti-codon, which is responsible for specific mRNA codon recognition, and the 3' end, to which the tRNAs corresponding amino acid is attached (by aminoacyl-tRNA synthetases). tRNAs cope with the degeneracy of the genetic code in two manners: having more than one tRNA (with a specific anti-codon) for a particular amino acid; and 'wobble' base-pairing, i.e. permitting non-standard base-pairing at the 3rd anti-codon position.
Source: RNAcentral
GGUCCCGUAGCUCAGAUGGACAGAGCAGGAGUUUCCUAAACUCUUGGUCGCGCGUUCGACUCGCGCCGGGACCA